AGUGAACGCUGGCGGUAGGCCUAACACAUGCAAGUCGAACGGCAGCACAGUAAGAGCUUGCUCUUACGGGUGGCGAGUGGCGGACGGGUGAGGAAUACAUCGGAAUCUACUUUUUCGAGGGGGAUAACGUAGGGAAACUUACGCUAAUACCGCAUACGACCUACGGGUGAAAGCAGGGGAUCUUCGGACCUUGCGCGAUUGAAUGAGCCGAUGUCGGAUUAGCUAGUUGGCGGGGUAAAGGCCCACCAAGUCGACGAUCCGUAGCUGGUCUGAGAGGAUGAUCAGCGACACUGGAACUGAGACACGGUCCAGACUCCUACGGGAGGCAGCAGUGGGGAAUAUUGGACAAUGGGCGCAAGCCUGAUCCAGCCAUACCGCGUGGGUGAAGAAGGCCUUCGGGUUGUAAAGCCCUUUUGUUGGGAAAGAAAAGCAGCAGGUUAAUACCCCGCUGUUCUGACGGUACCCAAAGAAUAAGCACCGGCUAACUCCGUG
This 492-nucleotide ribosomal RNA is filed under the name uncultured bacterium. RNAcentral's name for it is "partial 16S ribosomal RNA". It matches the Rfam family "Bacterial small subunit ribosomal RNA", at positions 29 to 507 of the family's 1533-position model. The record is from RNAcentral.